GCAGCCGAAACUGCGCCUGCGCGCCGGGCUUCCUGGCUGCCAGGAGUUACUGCAUUCGAGUAAGACUGGGACAGUGCUUCACCUUGUGAACGAAAAGAUGUUUCCUUUCCGAGAUGACUAUUUUUCUUCAGCGGCUUCUUGGAUCCUAGAAGGGGCAAAAAUGACUAGUUUCUGGGGCAUCAUGUGGGAUCUUAAUUCCCCAGCUGAGGAUUGAACCUGCACCCCCUGUAGUGGGGGCACAGAGUCUUAACCACUGGACUGCCAGGGAAGUCCCUGUAUAUUCUUCAAGGGAUUCCAGGCUAGUGCUGCUUGGUCCUGCUCAGCCUCAGCCCUUGGUCCUAUUCUCUGUGUCAGCCCAGCCAUGGCACUCUUCUGCCCUUCUCUUAUCCUGGUUUCCUAGGUGGUAAGUUUAGUUUCUACUUCCUCGUCACCUCUUUGACAAAAAGUCCUUUGUAU
Long non-coding RNA from Physeter macrocephalus (sperm whale), 456 nucleotides. RefSeq lists it as uncharacterized. NCBI's taxonomy places the organism in Eukaryota, Metazoa, Chordata, Mammalia, Artiodactyla, Physeteridae. The record is from RefSeq and is a predicted model, not a curated record. The transcript is spliced from 3 exons.